GGGGAUGUAGCUCAGAUGGUAGAGCGCUCAGAUGGUAGAGCGCUCGCUUAGCAUGCGAGAGGUACACGGGGAUCGAUACCCCGCAUCUCCA
Brassica oleracea var. oleracea is the source of this 91-nucleotide transfer RNA. It matches the Rfam family "tRNA". From Rfam's summary of the family: Transfer RNA (tRNA) molecules are approximately 80 nucleotides in length. Their secondary structure includes four short double-helical elements and three loops (D, anti-codon, and T loops). NCBI's taxonomy places the organism in Eukaryota, Viridiplantae, Streptophyta, Magnoliopsida, Brassicales, Brassicaceae. The record is from Rfam.